RNAcentral lists this ribosomal RNA (463 nucleotides) under uncultured bacterium. Its description in RNAcentral is "partial 16S ribosomal RNA". It matches the Rfam family "Bacterial small subunit ribosomal RNA", at positions 28 to 507 of the family's 1533-position model. The record is from RNAcentral.
GACGAACGCUGGCGGCGUGCUUAACACAUGCAAGUCGAACGGAAAGGCCUUUUCGGAGGUACUCGAGUGGCGAACGGGGGAGUAACACGUGGGUGAUCUGCCCUGCACGCGGGGAUAAGCCUGGGAAACUGGGUCUAAUACCGGAUAGGACCGCACGGUAGUGUGUGGGGUGGAAAGGGUUUUCGGUGUAGGAUGAGCGCGCGGCGUAUCAGCUUGUGUGGGGGGUAAUGGCCUACCAAGGCGGGGACGGGUAGACGGACUGAGAGGUUGGUAGGCCACAUUGAGUCUGAGAUGAGGCAGAGACUCCGAAGGGUGGAAGAAGUGGGGAAUACUGCACCAUGGGUGCCAGCCUGAUGCAGAGAGGCUGCGUGGUGGAUGACGGCUUUAGGGUUGUAAACUCCUUUCGACAGGGAAGAAGCGUUUUGUGACGGUACCUGGAGAAGAAGCACCGGCUAACUACGUG